CAAAUACUUCUUCCAGAUAAAUAAAGGUUCCAUACUCAGUGUUGUUCAUCGUAGUUCACCAGUCUCAAUUCAAAUACUUCUUCCAGAUAAAUAAAGGUUCCAUACUCAGUGUUGUUUAUCGUAGUUCACUAGUCUCAAUUCAAAUACUUCUUCCAGAUAAAUAAAGGUUCCAUACUCAGUGUUGUUUAUCGUAGUUCACCAGUCUCAAUUCAAAUACUUCUUCCAGAUAAAUAAAGGUUCCAUACUCAGUGUUGUUCAUCGUAGUUCACCAGUCUCAAUUCAAAUACUUCUUCCAGAUAAAUAAAGGUUCCAUACUCAGUGUUGUUUAUCGUAGUUCACUAGUCUCAAUUCAAAUACUUCUUCCAGAUAAAUAAAGGUUCCAUACUCAGUGUUGUUUAUCGUAGUUCACCAGUCUCAAUUCAAAUACUUCUUCCAGAUAAAUAAAGGUUCCAUACUCAGUGUUGUUUAUCGUAGUUCACCAGUCUCAAUUCAAAUACUUCUUCCAGAUAAAUAAAGGUUCCAUACUCAGUGUUGUUUAUCGUAGUUCACUAGUCUCAAUUCAAAUACUUCUUCCAGAUAAAUAAAGGUUCCAUACUCAGUGUUGUUUAUCGUAGUUCACCAGUCUCAAUUCAAAUACUUCUUCCAGAUAAAUAAAGGUUCCAUACUCAGUGUUGUUCAUCGUAGUUCACUAGUCUCAAUUCAAAUACUUCUUCCAGAUAAAUAAAGGUUCCAUACUCAGUGUUGUUCAUCGUAGUUCACCAGUCUCAAUUCAAAUACUUCUUCCAGAUAAAUAAAGGUUCCAUACUCAGUGUUGUUCAUCGUAGUUCACUAGUCUCAAUUCAAAUACUUCUUCCAGAUAAAUAAAGGUUCCAUACUCAGUGUUGUUCAUCGUAGUUCACUAGUCUCAAUUCAAAUACUUCUUCCAGAUAAAUAAAGGUUCCAUACUCAGUGUUGUUCAUCGUAGUUCACCAGUCUCAAUUCAAAUACUUCUUCCAGAUAAAUAAAGGUUCCAUACUCAGUGUUGUUUAUCGUAGUUCACUAGUCUCAAUUCAAAUACUUCUUCCAGAUAAAUAAAGGUUCCAUACUCAGUGUUGUUCAUCGUAGUUCACCAGUCUCAAUUCAAAUACUUCUUCCAGAUAAAUAAAGGUUCCAUACUCAGUGUUGUUCAUCGUAGUUCACUAGUCUCAAUUCAAAUACUUCUUCCAGAUAAAUAAAGGUUCCAUACUCAGUGUUGUUCAUCGUAGUUCACUAGUCUCAAUUCAAAUACUUCUUCCAGAUAAAUAAAGGUUCCAUACUCAGUGUUGUUCAUCGUAGUUCACUAGUCUCAAUUCAAAUACUUCUUCCAGAUAAAUAAAGGUUCCAUACUCAGUGUUGUUCAUCGUAGUUCACUAGUCUCAAUUCAAAUACUUCUUCCAGAUAAAUAAAGGUUCCAUACUCAGUGUUGUUCAUCGUAGUUCACUAGUCUCAAUUCAAAUACUUCUUCCAGAUAAAUAAAGGUUCCAUACUCAGUGUUGUUCAUCGUAGUUCACUAGUCUCAAUUCAAAUACUUCUUCCAGAUAAAUAAAGGUUCCAUACUCAGUGUUGUUCAUCGUAGUUCACCAGUCUCAAUUCAAAUACUUCUUCCAGAUAAAUAAAGGUUCCAUACUCAGUGUUGUUCAUCGUAGUUCACUAGUCUCAAUUCAAAUACUUCUUCCAGAUAAAUAAAGGUUCCAUACUCAGUGUUGUUCAUCGUAGUUCACCAGUCUCAAUUCAAAUACUUCUUCCAGAUAAAUAAAGGUUCCAUACUCAGUGUUGUUUAUCGUAGUUCACCAGUCUCAAUUCAAAUACUUCUUCCAGAUAAAUAAAGGUUCCAUACUCAGUGUUGUUCAUCGUAGUUCACCAGUCUCAAUUCAAAUACUUCUUCCAGAUAAAUAAAGGUUC
This is a long non-coding RNA of Oncorhynchus keta (chum salmon), 1920 nucleotides long. RefSeq lists it as uncharacterized. The record is from RefSeq and is a predicted model, not a curated record. The transcript has 11 exons. NCBI's taxonomy places the organism in Eukaryota, Metazoa, Chordata, Actinopteri, Salmoniformes, Salmonidae.